RNAcentral lists this ribosomal RNA (1525 nucleotides) under Kluyvera ascorbata. RNAcentral's name for it is "partial 23S ribosomal RNA". It matches the Rfam family "Bacterial large subunit ribosomal RNA", at positions 1292 to 2797 of the family's 2925-position model. Lineage: Bacteria; Pseudomonadati; Pseudomonadota; Gammaproteobacteria; Enterobacterales; Enterobacteriaceae. The record is from RNAcentral.
GAAUGCUGACAUAAGUAACGAUAAUGCGGGUGAAAAACCCGCACGCCGGAAGACCAAGGGUUCCUGUCCAACGUUAAUCGGGGCAGGGUGAGUCGACCCCUAAGGCGAGGCCGAAAGGCGUAGUCGAUGGGAAACAGGUUAAUAUUCCUGUACUUGGUGUUACUGCGAAGGGGGGACGGAGAAGGCUAUGUUAGCCGGGCGACGGUUGUCCCGGUUUAAGCAUGUAGGCGGGAAGUUUAGGUAAAUCCGGACUUCUUUUAACGCUGAGGUGUGAUGACGAGGCACUACGGUGCUGAAGUAACAAAUGCCCUGCUUCCAGGAAAAGCCUCUAAGCAUCAGGUAACAUCAAAUCGUACCCCAAACCGACACAGGUGGUCAGGUAGAGAAUACCAAGGCGCUUGAGAGAACUCGGGUGAAGGAACUAGGCAAAAUGGUGCCGUAACUUCGGGAGAAGGCACGCUGAUAUGUAGGUGAAGUGGUUUACCCAUGGAGCUGAAAUCAGUCGAAGAUACCAGCUGGCUGCAACUGUUUAUUAAAAACACAGCACUGUGCAAACACGAAAGUGGACGUAUACGGUGUGACGCCUGCCCGGUGCCGGAAGGUUAAUUGAUGGGGUUAGCGGCAACGCGAAGCUCUUGAUCGAAGCCCCGGUAAACGGCGGCCGUAACUAUAACGGUCCUAAGGUAGCGAAAUUCCUUGUCGGGUAAGUUCCGACCUGCACGAAUGGCGUAAUGAUGGCCAGGCUGUCUCCACCCGAGACUCAGUGAAAUUGAACUCGCUGUGAAGAUGCAGUGUACCCGCGGCAAGACGGAAAGACCCCGUGAACCUUUACUAUAGCUUGACACUGAACACUGGUCCUUGAUGUGUAGGAUAGGUGGGAGGCUUUGAAGCGCGGACGCCAGUUCGUGUGGAGCCAACCUUGAAAUACCACCCUUUAAUGGCUGGUGUUCUAACGUAGACCCGUGAUCCGGGUUGCGGACAGUGUCUGGUGGGUAGUUUGACUGGGGCGGUCUCCUCCUAAAGAGUAACGGAGGAGCACGAAGGUUAGCUAAUCCUGGUCGGACAUCAGGAGGUUAGUGCAAAGGCAUAAGCUAGCUUGACUGCGAGAGUGACGGCUCGAGCAGGUGCGAAAGCAGGUCUUAGUGAUCCGGUGGUUCUGAAUGGAAGGGCCAUCGCUCAACGGAUAAAAGGUACUCCGGGGAUAACAGGCUGAUACCGCCCAAGAGUUCAUAUCGACGGCGGUGUUUGGCACCUCGAUGUCGGCUCAUCACAUCCUGGGGCUGAAGUAGGUCCCAAGGGUAUGGCUGUUCGCCAUUUAAAGUGGUACGCGAGCUGGGUUUAGAACGUCGUGAGACAGUUCGGUCCCUAUCUGCCGUGGGCGCUGGAGAAUUGAGGGGGGCUGCUCCUAGUACGAGAGGACCGGAGUGGACGCAUCACUGGUGUUCGGGUUGUCAUGCCAAUGGCAUUGCCCGGUAGCUAAAUGCGGAAGAGAUAAGUGCUGAAAGCAUCUAAGCACGAAACUUGC